AGGGUGUCCCCGCACGGUGCGCAAGGCUGGCAUCCCGGCGCUGCCGCCGGGCGGCACGAAGCGCUGUGCCGCAAGCCCAGCCGCCGUCGGGCGAGCCGGGUGCCCUGGGCGAGGAGCGGCGGUGGCUCCCGCCCGUAGGUGGCGGGGCGGCGGCGACCCCCGGCAGGCGUAGGUGGCACUGUUAGCGAGCCUGGGUGCGCGGCCCCCCUGUGCCGCCGCCCCGGGCAGUCGCGACCCAGCGGUGAGUCGUAAUUGGCUUCUGAGGCUUAGGCGAGAGCAGACUCUAUCGCGUGUUCAGUGAGAAAUGAACCAAAGCAAGAGCUUGCCAUCUCCACACUGAUGUUGCAUCCAAACCCCUGGCUGCCAAAUCAAGCUUGCUGCUAUCGUACUGAAUUUUCUUUCUUGUGAGUGUGAUCAGCUUGAGGAGUCUUUUGGGAAAGAGAAUUCUCAACGUUUCAAUAGCUCUGGCUGGAGGAGUCCAUAAUAUUCUGAAUAUCUCCAGGCAUCCACAGAGCCAAGGCCACUUCUGCCUUUUCUAGUGCUGCACUGCUGAGGAGAAUGGGGGUGCUGGGGAGGUUGAAAGGACACACCCUGGACACAUGACCCCAGUUGACCAGAGGGGUACUCCAGACCUCAUGACAUCAUGGUCAGCGUCACGCAUGGUGGGGCCGUGCUCUCCUGGAGAUGGCUGAACACCUGCUUGCCCAUGGAAGAUAUGUCUCCAGCACUGACUACUUGGACUCCAUAUUACUUUGCACUUCUGAGCUACUGUGAUACCAAUUCUACAGGAACAAGACUGAGACCCCUGCACAAAAAUAACGUGUGAGAUCUGCUGUGCAUGCUGUACACUGAUCUUCAACGCAAAGACAAACACUUUCCAAGUGACCAGCUCACGCUGGAGCCACAGCCACCACUUCAGAGAGCAGAGGGAACAUGGAGUUAAACACCUGCUAAUUUAACUGGGUGUGCAGUUCACCAUUGUCUAACCUUGCUAUCAGAGUUACUGAUGGCGUUCCCAGUCUCCUCCUAGGCUGCCUCUGUUGGUGUCGGGCAGGACUCAGUCUGCCAGGAGGGGUGAGAGACAUUCAGGUUCCUCAGCUGUGGCAGGCCUGCCCCACAGUGCCUGCAGGACUUGGAUGAGGCAGGCAGGCAUCCAGUGCUGGCCCCUGUGUUUGCUGCAAGAGCUCUUGUGCGACAAGGUUUUGGUAAUGAGGGAGCCACAGGGGUGGCUUCUGUGAGAAAAUGCCAGAAGAUUCCCCCAUGGGCAACAAAGACAAUUCCAGCCAGCUCCAGGAUGGACCUGCUGCUGGCCAAGGCCAAGCCCAUCAGCAAUGGUGGUAGUGCCUCUGGGAUUACAGAUUUAAGAAACGGAGAACUUCUGGAACAGCAGCCAGGGAGAGGUGUGAGAAUAUGCAGGAGGAACAGCUCUGCAGACACCAAGGCCAGGGCAGAAAGGGUGGGAGGAAGCGCUCCAGGCACUGGAGCAGAGAUUCCCCUGCAGCCCGUGGUGCAGCCCAGGGUAAGGCAGGAUGGGACCCUGCAGUCCAUGGAGGAACAGAGAUCCACCUGCAGCCUGGGGAGGGCCCACACUGGGGCUGGUGGAGGCCUGAAGGGGGCUGUGACCCUGUGGGAAACCUGUGCUGGAGCAGGGGCCUGGCAGGAUCUGUGGCCCCACGGAGAGAGGAGCCCACAGUGAGCAGGUUUGCUGGCAGGAGUGGUGACCCCAUGGAGAACCCACUCUGGAGCAGUGUGCUCCUGAAGGACUGCACCCUGAGGGAGGGACCGUGCUGGAGCAGAAGAGCUGAAACCCGGGGAAGGACUUACAUUCGGAAAGUUUGUGGAGACUGUCUCCUGUUGGAGGGACCCCACACUGGAGCUGGAGUGUGAGGAGUCGUCCCAUCGUCCCCCCCCCCCCCGAGGAGGAGAGAACAGUAGAGACAAUGUGUGAUGGGUUGAUCACAGCCCUGAUUCCUCAUUCUCCUGCUCCACUGGGGAGAAGGAGAUAUAGACAAAAUCUGGACUGAGGUUAAACCUGGGAAGAAGGGAGGAGUGGACAGUUUAGGAUUUAGUUUUUUGUUUUUGUUACCUUACUCUGAUUUGAUUGGUAAUAGAUUAAUUUCCCCAAGCUGAGUCUGUCUUGCCUAUGAUGGUAACGAUGAAAGGUCUCUCCCUGUCCUUUUCUCAGUCCAGGAGUCUUUCAUUAUAUUUUCUAUCCAACUGAGGAGGAAAGAGAUAUAGCAACUUUGGUGGGCACCUGACAUCCAGCUGGAGUCAACCCACCACACACCACUGACACAAAAACCACUUUCCAGGCAGACUUCCUCCAUUGUUAGCAGCCACUAAACCAAGGCAGACCUUCCACUUCUGGUAAUACAACUGGCUGCAUAAACCUCUCACAGAGAGCCAGUGUGCUCAUUUCAUCCAGCUGAGCUGCCUAAACACCUCCCAUUGAAAGGGGUUGGUUUCCAGCUUGCUGUUUUCAGAGGGGCAACUUGGCUAUUCCAUUUACUGGGAAGCCUACCUGUCCCAGGGCAUAUUGCCCUGCUGAAAAUGCAGAGAUGCUCUAACAGGAGCUGUGGAUGGGUGGGAGUAGCUGGUGGCACAGCAAAAUGUGCUGGUACGAUGCAUGAGAGUGUACUGGCUGCAGGGCCUGGCUAUGACCCCAAGCAGAAGGGGUUUUAGGAGAGGACAAAAACAGUACCUGUUUUCUUGUAUGGUGAAAAAAAUAGCAACCAGCAGUAGUGCUAGCUAUCUUGUUCUUCCACAUUAUUAACACUCUUCAUUUUUCCCUGAUAGCAGGAAAAUUGUACAAAUGUAAAAUUUGAAUAGGUUGUCUCACUAAGACUGAAGUUAGGAACCAAGUUUCCAACUCCCCUAUUCAAGUCCUACUUUACAAUGAUGUACUACUCUUUCUAGAAAGGGAAUGCUCCAUGCAGUGCUUAAACUGUCUUUAAAAAGAAAAUACCAACAGUUUAUCUGAAUUAACACUAAAGAAGAGGAUUUAUCCAGCUGUGGUCAGUUUUCAUUUUUUUCCUCAAGUUUACCUUUGGCAUCAUCUGAAUUCUUCCAUUUGCUUUCACUAGGGAUCUAAAAUUGUUACAUCUAGAGUAAGAAAGGCCCAACAAAAUCAGUGAGAAAAAUAAUGAUUAAAAGUAUGUUGUAUCCUUGACAUCUAGAACUGAUAUUCUCCAAAAGGAUAUGACCUCCUUUGCUCUUAAAAACCGUUAUAAAUUUCUUGAUGUUUUAAAAUUGGAUUCCUUUAUUGACUUCUUUCCACUGUAUUUUAUUCAAGGAUAGAAGGCCUGCACAAUUGUGUAGAAUGGUUUUGAUGGCAUCUUUGUGUAAAAAAAGUAAUUGUUCUUAUUUUUUAUGAAGGAAAAAGAAAAAAAGUUUAGAGGCUUUCUGUGCCUCUAAGCAAAACUUUCCUCUCACAAUCUAUGAAAAUAUUUUUGUGCUUCACUUCCCUAUAGAAAGUAUUCUUUAAUUCCAUCUGGUAGGUGUAAAGUACAGUGCAAUUUGAACAGGAAAAUUUUAAAUAUCUCAAUUUUGGACUAGCUAGAAAAGCAAAGAUGGAUUAAUUGUUCCAGGGAAAUAUUUAACAGUUUAAAAACAAAUUUUGAAACACCAGAUUUUGUUCCAAAACUUGAUAUUCAUAUGUAGGUGAAAUCAAUAUGCUAGACUGGAGCCUCACAUUGUAUUGCUAUCGUCAUCAUCUGUUUGUAUUACCUGAGAGCCCUGGAGUCUCCAUUCAAGGUUAAUCAGUGUAUAAAAACCAGAUGUUCCCUGCCUCAAAGGAUGGAUACAGACAGGAUGCUACAAAGAAGCAAGAGAAUAGUGCUCAGCAGGAGACAUAAUGGCAUCAGCACAGCACCACCAGAUGGAUAUGAUAUCAGUAAAAGAACUUGGAGGUGGACAAUAAGUUAGAAAUAUCUCUGCAGAAGAUUCACCAUGGUCGAAGGGGGAAUACAUGGACUAAGCCAGAAGUUUGAAAGCAUUGUGUGCAGAAGUUGUGUCAGAUGUACAGGAAUAGCAGAGUUCAGGAAAAAAAUCACUCUCCAAAGUUUGUGAAGCUUAUUAGUGAUCCAAUAUAAAUUUAGAAUGGAGUUCACUGCUUCUUGUUUCACUCAAACACUACCAAUUCUGAUCAUCACCAAUACUCAUACUCAGAAGAGAUCACAGAGUCACAGAAUGGUUGACGUUUGAAAGGACCUGUGGAGGCCAUCUGGUCCAGCACCUUUGCUCAAGCAGGGACACCAACAACCCUUUGUCCAAGAACAUAUCCAGAUAAUUUUUUAAUACCUCCAAAGAUGAAUACCUCCACAACAUCUCUGAGCAACCAGUGCCAGUACUUGGCCACCCUCACAAGGAAACUCCUGUAUUUCACUUUGUGCCCAUUGACAGGGCCUUUGUUCUGGUCCUGUCCCUUGCCACCACUGAAAAGAGCCUGGCUUUUUCUUCUGUAAACCUUUCCUUCAGGUAUUUACACACAUUGAGAAAAUCCUUAUGAAUUUUCUCUUCUCCAGCCUGAGUGGUUCAUAUUCUCAGCCUUUCUUGAUAUGAGAGAUGCUCCAGUUUGAGUAUAUUAAUCUUCCUAGUGGUGAUACACUUGACUCCUUGCCCUGUGUCCAUGUCUCACUUGCAUUGGGGAGCUCAGCAAUGAACUCAGAACUCCAAGUGCAACUUCCCCAGUGUUGAACAGAGCAAAAGGAUACUCUCCCUUGACCCACUGGUAACACUUCAAAAACAGCCCAGGACACAAGUUGCUGUUACAACGAGGGCUGUUCAGUGUUUGACAGUAGGGGAAAGAAAAUGGGCUUGAGAUUUUUUCUUUUAAACUUGAUUUUUUAAAAUUAUUUUUUGUGAGUUUUUAAGGGGAAGAUGUUAAAUCUAUACUAGACCAAGAGGGAUACAGGGUCCUUAGAUAUGGGAUUAUAAACCAGUCCUUUAAAGGGUCAUUUGAUAGCAAGCUGCCACUCCAUAAUAGGUUUUUAUCAACAGUUAGAAAAAAAUCAAAAGUAUAGAAAAGUCAUAGAAUCAUAGAAUAUGCUGAGUUGGAAGGCACCUGCCAAGUUCAUGAAGCCCAAAUGCUGGGCCUGCACAGGACACCUCAGGAGUCAUGCCGUGUGCCUAAAAAGCAUUAUCCAAAUUCUUCUUGAACUCAGACAGGCUUAGUGCUGUGACCACUUUGCACAGAUGCAAGUGCUCAAACAUCGUCUUGGUGUUUGAAAAGCCUUUUCCUUUUAUCCAACCUAAAUCUCCCCUGAAACAACUUCAGGUGUAGCCACAUUUCUCUUUAGAGAGAAAAGCAUUGAACAACUUCCCAAGGAUAUUUUCUGGGACUCGCAUUCUCUGAACCUCAGAGAAAGAAAAAAUAAUUCUUAUCUCAAUUGCUGCGCCUCUUGUUCACAAGUGGAAUGCAUUGAGGAAGAUUGUUUACCUGAAGGAAAUUGGUAAUUGGAUUCUGGUGUGAGGGUUUUGAUUUAUUGACCAAUUGAAUCCAUGUGUGUGUGUGUGUUGGGCUGACAGUCCAGUUGAGUUGAGUUGAGUUGAGUUGAGUUGAGUUGAGUGCUUGGUGCAGAUUCAGUGUAAUAUAGUAUACAAUAAUAUAUUAUAAUAAAGUAAUUAAUUAGCC
This is a long non-coding RNA of Zonotrichia leucophrys gambelii, 5632 nucleotides long. RefSeq lists it as uncharacterized. The transcript is spliced from 7 exons. The record is from RefSeq and is a predicted model, not a curated record. Lineage: Eukaryota; Metazoa; Chordata; Aves; Passeriformes; Passerellidae.